CUGCUGCCUCCCGUAGGAGUCUGGUCCGUGUCUCAGUACCAGUGUGGGGGACCUUCCUCUCAGAACCCCUACGCAUCGUCGGUUAGGCGGGCCGUUACCCCGCCUACUGCCUAAUGCGCCGCAUGCCCAUCCCUGUCCGGCCGAAGCCUUUCCUGCCUCCGGGAUGCCCCGGUGGCAUGUACGCGGGUUUACGCCCGCCUUUCGGCGGGUUGUCCCCCUGACAGGGGCAGGUUGCAUACGUGUUACUCACCCGUGCGCCGGUCGCCGGCGGAGAAG
This 276-nucleotide ribosomal RNA is filed under the name uncultured bacterium. RNAcentral's name for it is "partial 16S ribosomal RNA". The record is from RNAcentral.